Molecule: unclassified non-coding RNA, 359 nt
Filed under: uncultured Glomerales
Lineage: Eukaryota; Fungi; Glomeromycota; Glomeromycetes; Glomerales; Glomeraceae
Description: sequence contains 18S rRNA gene
Source: RNAcentral
CGUAAGGCGCCGAAUGAGUCAUUAAUAAAAUUAACAUCAUCCGAUCCCUAGUCGGCAUAGUUUAUGGUUAAGACUACGACGGUAUCUGAUCGUCUUCGAUCCCCUAACUUUCGUUCUUGAUUAAUGAAAACAUCCUUGGCAAAUGCUUUCGCAGUAGUUAGUCUUCAAUAAAUCCAAGAAUUUCACCUCUGACAAUUGAAUACUAAUGCCCCCAACUAUCCCUAUUAAUCAUUACGUCGAUCCUAGAAACCAACAAAAUAGGGUCAAACGUCCUAUUUCAUUAUUCCAUGCUAAUGUAUUCAAGCUAGCGCUUGCUUUAAACACUCUAAUUUUUCAAAGUAACAGUCCUGAUUUCCCAC